RNAcentral lists this long non-coding RNA (878 nucleotides) under Pan troglodytes (chimpanzee). RNAcentral's name for it is "long non-coding RNA NONPTRT005458". The record is from RNAcentral. Lineage: Eukaryota; Metazoa; Chordata; Mammalia; Primates; Hominidae.
AAUGAAACUUCCUUACUGUUCACUAACCUACAUCUCAAUUACCUCCCAACAUGUUUGCAGCAAGUACCCUGUCGAUGGUAGGCAAGAGGAAGGUGUGACCCACAAAGAUCAAGGAAUCUAAGCCGGCCAAGUUCUAAAGGCUGGAAAGUCCAAGACCAAGACACCAGCAGAUUCAGUGUCUGGUGAGAGCCCACUCUCUGAUUCACAGAAGGCUUCUUACUGUGUUGAAAAGUGCAAGAGUAGCGACGCUGGUGAUUCCGACAUGCCAGAAAGAGGCUGCAAAGUGCUUCCUGUAAGCGAAAAGCUGAAAGUUCUCAAUGUAAUAAGGAAAGAAAAAGAAAUCAUAUGCUGAGGUUGCUAAGAUCUAUGGUACUCAGGGAGUUUUGAAAUCUUCCAAGAUGCCAUCGAGGAACUGAAAAGUGCUGUCCAGCUGCAGUGAGGGCUUUUUAAAGGCAGUUCCAUGUCUACACCCCACUGAGUUCAGACUGUCCAAUGAACCACUGACAUUGUUACACCUGCGUAUUGUGGACAACUUGAGAAAACACUUGUCUGCAGGAAGAUGAAAUUAAAAUCAAGUGUGAUCCUACCACCGAAAGAUAAGUGUUACUGAUAUUUUUUGUUAAUAACAUUCCAGUUUUUUAUGUAGUUUUGGGCUAGCUUAUUAUUUUCAUGUGAUUUCAAACUUGGAGAAAGUUUCCAAGAUGAGUCCAAGGAGCUCUCAUAUGCUCCUCACCCAGAUCCACUAACUGGCCACAUUUUGUCCCAUUUGCUUUAUUAUUCCUUCUACCCCUCUCUCUCUAAAGUAUUAUUAUAUGUUAAAUAUAUCUUAAUAUAAUUAUAGUUAUGUUAAAUAUAUCUUAAUAUAGUUACAAAUAAUU